CCCGCAACGCGGCCACCGCUUUCCGUGUGCAACUGCUUCAAUGGUAGUCGCGUUUGCCGCGCUCGUGCCUUCCCCGUUUUCUUCAUCGAGAGAGAGAAAGAGAAAGAGAGAGAGAAAGAAAGAGAAGGGGAACACGCGCUACUUUCUCGUGAAAAGACAAAAAGCCGCUAAGCAAACACGUGUAUGGAACUAGGAUAAAGAAAUAAAAAUGCCGUCAAAUAGUUUCUUCGACUUCCAUAGUUCCUUGAUUAUGAAUUAUUGAGAGAUGAUAAACCGGAAGAAUGAAAGAGUGAGAGCGUUCAAAAACGCGAGUGUUAUCAUCCACAUACUUUUUCGUGUUUCCUGUGUUUCCGGUCACGUGGAUCACGUGGUCGAUGAAACCCCUCCUCUUCUUUCGUAGUGGUGCUCUCGAGAGGAGGGAGUACCGGCUUGAAGGCAAGCAGGGGUGGCAGUUGGUAGUGGUGGUGGUGGUGGUGGUGGUAGUGCUGAUGCUGGAGGUUCAAGAACGAAAAGAAAGAUAACGAAGAGGAUACGCGAAAGAGGAUGCUGUGCCCUCGGGAUCCGAGACCACGUGGAAACUUUUACGGAGAACACUAUUGCAGAGAAAUAUACAAAAGAGCAAGGAAGAUAAAUUCUUUUGGAAGCGAAAAAGGGAGUACCAAGAGGGUACAAGGAGGACAACGGGAAGACAACCAGGCGGGUACCCGUCGAGGAAGCAUGGAGUCGUCCUUUCCCGGGCAAAGUAAGCGUCGAAACGGAACCAACGAAAACUUUGUUACAUCUGACGUUAAAGUUGCGGUGAAGUAAUCGCCAAGGAAUCCAUCGACCUGCGGAUAAAAACCACGAUACUCGGAGCUUGAUGGAUGAAGAUCGAUGGCGUGUACGCGGCAACGGCUUGCAAAAGCAACCACCCACCUACCCCCUACGACGGCAGCUACUCGCGGGCGCACGCUCAAUAUCGUUACACACCUCAUAUCCUGCCCUCCGACUUAAUAUCCUCUGACGCGUGCGAAAAGCCCCUAGGAUGCAAAAGAUAGUAAACGCGUCAGGUGCUUCUCGAAACGACAAAGGUGUUCUUCUUACAUUAUUCGACUCUCCCUAACAGUUAACUUCCUCUUUUGGCUAAUGUACUUUUUAUUUUAUUUUAUUUUAUUUUCAUUUAUUUACUUAAUAUUUUUUAUAAUAAAU
Molecule: long non-coding RNA, 1188 nt
Filed under: Polistes dominula (European paper wasp)
Lineage: Eukaryota; Metazoa; Arthropoda; Insecta; Hymenoptera; Vespidae
Description: uncharacterized LOC107068774, transcript variant X2
Source: RNAcentral